This 440-nucleotide ribosomal RNA is filed under the name uncultured Eubacteriales bacterium. RNAcentral describes it as "bacterial SSU rRNA". It matches the Rfam family "Bacterial small subunit ribosomal RNA", at positions 338 to 795 of the family's 1533-position model. The record is from RNAcentral. Lineage: Bacteria; Bacillati; Bacillota; Clostridia; Eubacteriales.
CCUACGGGAGGCAGCAGUAGGGAAUAUUGCGCAAUGGGGGGAACCCUGACGCAGCGACGCCGCGUGAGCGAUGAAGGCCUUCGGGUCGUAAAGCUCUGUCCUAUGGGAAGAAUUUGACGGUACCAUAGGAGGAAGCCCCGGCUAACUACGUGCCAGCAGCCGCGGUAAUACGUAGGGGGCGAGCGUUGUCCGGAAUUACUGGGCGUAAAGGGUGCGUAGGCGGAUAUGCAAGUCCGAUGUGAAAUGCCUCGGCUUAACCGAGGAGCUGCAUUGGAAACUGCGUAUCUAGAGUGCAGGAGAGGGAAGCGGAAUUCCUAGUGUAGCGGUGAAAUGCGUAGAUAUUAGGAGGAACACCAGUGGCGAAGGCGGCUUCCUGGACUGUAACUGACGCUGAGGCACGAAAGCUGGGGGAGCAAACAGGCUUAGAUACCCCUGUAGUC